RNAcentral lists this ribosomal RNA (261 nucleotides) under uncultured bacterium. Its description in RNAcentral is "partial 16S ribosomal RNA". It matches the Rfam family "Bacterial small subunit ribosomal RNA", at positions 1232 to 1500 of the family's 1533-position model. The record is from RNAcentral.
GGCAGGUACAGAGGGAGUGCUACCGGGCGACCGGAUGCGGAUCUCGAAAGCCUGUCCCAGUUCGGACUGGAGUCUGCAACCCGACUCCACGAAGUUGGAUUCGCUAGUAAUCGCGCAUCAGCCAUGGCGCGGUGAAUACGUUCCCGGGCCUUGUACACACCGCCCGUCAAGCCAUGGGAGCCGGGGGCGCCUGAAGUCCGGGACCGCGAGGACCGGCCUAGGGCGAAACUGGUAACUGGGGCUAAGUCGUAACAAGGUAUC